GAUAACUGGCUUGUGGCAGCCAAGCGUUCAUAGCGACGUUGCUGUUUGAUCCUUCGAUGACGGCUCUUCCUAUCAUUGAGACGCAGAAGUCCCAAACUGUCGGAUUGUUCACCCGCCAAUAGGGGCCCAGAUCGGUAAGGCCAUCCUGGUC
Molecule: ribosomal RNA, 151 nt
Rfam family: Eukaryotic large subunit ribosomal RNA
Source: Rfam